This 459-nucleotide ribosomal RNA is filed under the name uncultured bacterium. Its description in RNAcentral is "partial 16S ribosomal RNA". It matches the Rfam family "Bacterial small subunit ribosomal RNA", at positions 338 to 795 of the family's 1533-position model. The record is from RNAcentral.
CCUACGGGGGGCAGCAGUGAGGAAUAUUGGUCAAUGGACGAGAGUCUGAACCAGCCAAGUAGCGUGAAGGAUGACUGCCCUAUGGGUUGUAAACUUCUUUUAUAAAGGAAUAAAACGAGGCACGUGUGCCUUUUUGCAUGUACUUUAUGAAUAAGGAUCGGCUAACUCCGUGCCAGCAGCCGCGGUAAUACGGAGGAUGCGAGCGUUAUCCGGAUUUAUUGGGUUUAAGGGGUGCGUAGGCGGAUUUUUAAGUCAGCGGUAAAAUGUCCGGGCUCAACCCGGGCCGGCCGUUGAAACUGGGGAUCUUGAGUGGGCGAGAAGUAUGCGGAAUGCGUGGUGUAGCGGUGAAAUGCAUAGAUAUCACGCAGAACUCCGAUUGCGAAGGCAGCAUACCGGCGCCCGACUGACGCUGAGGCACGAAAGCGUGGGGAUCGAACAGGAUUAGAUACCCGAGUAGUC